UCAAACCUAUGAUCGACCUUCCCCUGAACUAGUGGGUCGGGUGGCUGGGAUAGAAUCCCCCAUCGCCUUUGUACCCGAAACAAAUGAAUUGUGUUACUAUAUGCCUAAUCUUGUCCCCCCUUACUCUUAUUCUUUGGUUGUGCUAUUCCUAAUCUUAAGUAAUCCCCAUUUUGGCAUGAGGUAAAAGAGUUAAGGGUAGGACAAAGCUUGUUACCUUGAGACAAGGCCUAGUUCCUAUAAGAUGGUAUAGAAGGCAGAGUAUGCAAUGAAUUUUAAUGGUAACAUGUAUGUCCUUUAUGCAUGGCACUCGAAGAAUAUAUUUAAGGAACUUGUUCUUUGUUAGUAUCACAAUAAACAAAUUCCUUUUCUAAUGAUUGUAUCCUCUUUCAUUAAAGAUUACGUAAAAUAACCUGUGUAUUUUUGUAACCCACAGAUGUAUAGGCUUUGAUUUUGUCUUUAUCUUCAAUUCAGACUAUGGUGAUGUAUGUUGAAUUUUUUAUUUAUAUUAAAUUAAUAAAAAGUCUUUUAUUAAAA
This 534-nucleotide long non-coding RNA is filed under the name Capsicum annuum. RNAcentral's name for it is "long non-coding RNA (CANN_LNC015493)". The record is from RNAcentral. Lineage: Eukaryota; Viridiplantae; Streptophyta; Magnoliopsida; Solanales; Solanaceae.